Molecule: long non-coding RNA, 874 nt
Filed under: Marmota monax (woodchuck)
Lineage: Eukaryota; Metazoa; Chordata; Mammalia; Rodentia; Sciuridae
Source: RNAcentral
UUUAUGCUAAUGACGAGGAUGCGGGUGACCGCCCGAGCUCUCCCGAGCGCCAGAGGCCUUGCUUGCGCUUGGUCUUGCUCGCCCGCACCCCUCCAGGAGUCGGCUGCUUGCCCAGAAGUCUCUAUAGAGGAACUGUCGCCGUCAGUCUCUGGGCCUAGAGGGGUGCGAGGAGAAGUGGUCCCUGGCUGCGGUCCGUGUGGCCAACGCCGUGCGUUUGUCUUCAUUCUGCCCACCCCACCCCGUUCGGUUUCUGCCUUCCAGUUCCUUUUUGAUUGCUCUCGGUCUCUGGAGGUCUCACUCCUUGUCUCAUUUUACGAUUAUCUGCUCUCUUUCUAGUAAACCAAGAUAUGUUGAGCACUUCUGCCUUCCCGACGGUUCGCUAACCUUGCCCCGCUGGGCAGCGGCAGGAUGAAGAGGAAGCCUGAAGCCAGCACCCGACAGCUCCAAGAGCUGAAUGAGGGCUGUGCUCUGGGGCCUGGGAGAAGGCGAGCCCACUUCUGACCGGGAAUCGGGAGAGAGUACCUGAAAGCCGAGCCCUUUGGGCUGAGCUCUAAAGAAUGGACAGAACCCCAACCCGGAUGCGAUCGGGAAAUGAAGUAGGCAGAAGUGUUAAGAUAAACGGGGAAAGCCAAUGCAGGGUGACUGGAAUACAAGGACCUUGUUUGGAGUUUGGGGGAGAAUGCUGGGAGGGAUUUUGAGAGGGCCAGGUGAGAGACCUUAAUACCAAGUCAAAUAAGUUAAUGUGACUCCGGAGGCUUUCUUCCUAUUUCUCUAAGAGAAACAAUAAAGCUAGUGGUUAAAUACAUCCAUGGACUCCGGAAUUACAUCGCCCUAGUUCAAGGUUUACAGUCCACCACUAUUACCUGUGUGAUGU